Molecule: ribosomal RNA, 301 nt
Filed under: uncultured bacterium
Lineage: Bacteria
Description: partial 16S ribosomal RNA
Rfam family: Bacterial small subunit ribosomal RNA
Source: RNAcentral
CAGCCGCCGCGGUAAUACGUAGGGUGCGAGCGUUAAUCGGAAUUACUGGGCGUAAAGCGUGCGCAGGCGGUUGAGUAAGACAGGUGUGAAAUCCCCGGGCUUAACCUGGGAACUGCGCUUGUGACUGCACAGCUAGAGUAUGGCAGAGGGGGGUGGAAUUCCACGUGUAGCAGUGAAAUGCGUAGAGAUGUGGAGGAACACCGAUGGCGAAGGCAGCCCCCUGGGCCAAUACUGACGCUCAUGCACGAAAGCGUGGGGAGCAAACAGGAUUAGAUACCCCCGUAGUCCCUGUCUCUUAUAC